Molecule: ribosomal RNA, 253 nt
Filed under: uncultured bacterium
Lineage: Bacteria
Description: partial 16S ribosomal RNA
Rfam family: Bacterial small subunit ribosomal RNA
Source: RNAcentral
UACGUAGGGGGCUAGCGUUGUCCGGAUUCAUUGGGCGUAAAGCGCGUGCAGGCGGCUUGGUAAGUCGGAUGUGAAAUCCCGGAGCUCAACUCCGGAACUGCAUCCGAUACUGCCUCGCUAGAGUCCCGGAGAGGAUGGCGGAAUUUCCGGUGUAGAGGUGAAAUUCGUAGAUAUCGGAAGGAACACCAGCGGCGAAGGCGGCCAUCUGGACGGUGACUGACGCUCAGACGCGAAAGCGCGGGGAGCAAACAGG